Molecule: ribosomal RNA, 468 nt
Filed under: uncultured bacterium
Lineage: Bacteria
Description: partial 16S ribosomal RNA
Rfam family: Bacterial small subunit ribosomal RNA
Source: RNAcentral
GACGAACGCUGGCGGCGUGCUUAACACAUGCAAGUCGAACGAAAAGGCCCUGCUUUUGUGCGGUCCUCGAGUGGCGAACGGGUGAGUAACACGUGAGUAUCAUGCACUUGAAUUUGGGAUAACUUUAGGAAACUGGGGAUCAUACCGGAUAUAAGCUCUUGAUGCAUGGGGGGGGUCGGAAAGUUUCGGCGGUUGGGGAUGGACUCGAGGCUUAUCAGCUUGUUGGUGGGGUAGUGGCUUACCAAGGCUUUGACGGGUAGGCGGCCUGAGAGGGUGACCAGGGUCAAUAGGACUGAGAGAGGCCCCAGAAGCCAACGGGAGGCAACGGUGGGAAAUAUUGCGGAAUGAGCGGACGCCUGAUGCAGAAGCGCCGGGAGCGUGAUAACGGCCUUCGGGGUGUGAACCGCUGUGGCCUGUGCCAAAGCGUGAGUGACGGUAACGGGUAAAGAAGCACCGGCUAACUACGUG